CAGCAUGUUCCCAAGGGCUAUGGCUGGU
RNAcentral lists this non-coding RNA (28 nucleotides) under Cricetulus griseus (Chinese hamster). The record is from RNAcentral. Lineage: Eukaryota; Metazoa; Chordata; Mammalia; Rodentia; Cricetidae.